UGCGGCCCAUCAGGUGGUUGGUGGGGUAACGGCCUACCAAGCCGAUGACGGGUAGCUGGUCUGGGAGGAUGACCAGCCAGACUGGGACUGAGACACGGCCCAGACUCCUACGGGAGGCAGCAGCAAGGAAUUUUCGGCAAUGGGCGCAAGCCUGACCGAGCAACGCCGCGUGCGGGAUGACGGCCUUCGAGUUGUAAACCGCUUUUCGGGGGGACGAUUAGGACGGUACCCCCGGAAGAAGCCCCGGCUAACUCUGUGCCAGCAGCCGCGGUAAGACAGAGGGGGCGAGCGUUGUCCGGAGUUACUGGGCGUAAAGCGCGCGCAGGCGGUGGUCUCAGUGUCGUGUGAAAGCCCCCGGCUCAACCGGGGGAGGUCAUGGCAAACUAGACGACUAGAGCGGCGGAGAGGCCCCUCGAAUUGCCGGUGUAGCGGUGAAAUGCGUAGAGAUCGGCAGGAAGACCAAGGGGGAAGCCAGGGGGCUGGCCGCUGGCUGACGCUGAGGCGCGACAGCGUGGGGAGCAAACCGGAUUAGAUACCCGGGUAGUCCACGCCGU
Molecule: ribosomal RNA, 554 nt
Filed under: uncultured bacterium
Lineage: Bacteria
Description: bacterial SSU rRNA
Rfam family: Bacterial small subunit ribosomal RNA
Source: RNAcentral